UACAGAGGGUGCAAGCGUUAAUCGGAAUUACUGGGCGUAAGGCGCGCGUAGGUGGUUUGUUAAGUUGGAUGUGAAAUCCCCGGGCUCAACCUGGGAACUGCAUUCAAAACUGACAAGCUAGAGUAUGGUAGAGGGUGGUGGAAUUUCCUGUGUAGCGGUGAAAUGCGUAGAUAUAGGAAGGAACACCAGUGGCGAAGGCGACCACCUGGACUGAUACUGACACUGAGGUGCGAAAGCGUGGGGAGCAAACAGG
This 253-nucleotide ribosomal RNA is filed under the name uncultured bacterium. RNAcentral's name for it is "partial 16S ribosomal RNA". It matches the Rfam family "Bacterial small subunit ribosomal RNA", at positions 524 to 776 of the family's 1533-position model. The record is from RNAcentral.